Molecule: ribosomal RNA, 338 nt
Filed under: uncultured Synechococcus sp.
Lineage: Bacteria; Bacillati; Cyanobacteriota; Cyanophyceae; Synechococcales; Synechococcaceae
Description: bacterial SSU rRNA
Rfam family: Bacterial small subunit ribosomal RNA
Source: RNAcentral
GAGGGGGAUAACGACUGGAAACGGUCGCUAAUACCCCAUAUGCCGCGAGGUGAACUCAGUUUCGCCUGAGGAUGAGCUCGCGUCUGAUUAGCUAGUUGGUGGGGUAAAGGCCUACCAAGGCAUCGAUCAGUAGCUGGUCUGAGAGGAUGAUCAGCCACACUGGGACUGAGACACGGCCCAGACUCCUACGGGAGGCAGCAGUGGGGAAUUUUCCGCAAUGGGCGAAAGCCUGACGGAGCAACGCCGCGUGAGGGAUGAAGGCCUCUGGGUUGUAAACCUCUUUUAUCAAGGAAGAAGAUCUGACGGUACUUGAUGAAUAAGCCACGGCUAAUUCCGUG